GGAGAAGAAAAGGAAGAAUUGUGUUAGUCUUGUACAACAAAGGUGAAGGCGAGUUUUACACCAAGAAUUGAAUCCCUAAAAGCUUUGUGGAAUCGUGGCUGCCUUAGAAAUUAGAUUGUAUAUUUCCUGUAUUUUGGAUAAUCUUUUGUAUCAAGGAACCGAUAUGUAUUUAAAGACUUGAAGAAUUUUAUCUGUAACUAUUAUUAAUAUUUUAUUUUAGUGUAAUUAUUUGCAUUUUGUGCUUAAAAA
Camellia sinensis is the source of this 249-nucleotide non-coding RNA. The record is from RefSeq and is a predicted model, not a curated record. NCBI's taxonomy places the organism in Eukaryota, Viridiplantae, Streptophyta, Magnoliopsida, Ericales, Theaceae.